RNAcentral lists this transfer RNA (76 nucleotides) under Acinetobacter phage YMC13/03/R2096. Its description in RNAcentral is "tRNA-Asp". It matches the Rfam family "tRNA". From Rfam's summary of the family: Transfer RNA (tRNA) molecules are approximately 80 nucleotides in length. Their secondary structure includes four short double-helical elements and three loops (D, anti-codon, and T loops). The record is from RNAcentral. RNAcentral also lists the same sequence under 1 other name. Lineage: Duplodnaviria; Heunggongvirae; Uroviricota; Caudoviricetes.
GGCUCUGUAGCAUAGUGGAUUAUGCGCCUCCCUGUCUAGGAGAAAAACGCCAGUUCGAGUCUGGUCAGAGUCGCCA